GACGAACGCUGGCGGCGUGCUUAACACAUGCAGGUCGAACGGAAAGGCCCUGCUUUUGUGGGGUGCUCGAGUGGCGAACGGGUGAGUAACACGUGAGUAACCUGCCCUUGACUGUGGGAUAACUUCAGGAAACUGGGGCUAAUACCGGAUAGGAGCUCCUGCUGCAUGGUGGGGGUUGGAAAGUUUCGGCGGUUGGGGAUGGACUCGCGGCUUAUCAGCUUGUUGGUGGGGUAGUGGCUUACCAAGGCUUUGACGGGUAGCCGGCCUGAGAGGGUGACCGGCCACAUUGGGACUGAGAUACGGCCCAGACUCCUACGGGAGGCAGCAGUGGGGAAUAUUGCACAAUGGGCGGAAGCCUGAUGCAGCAACGCCGCGUGCGGGAUGACGGCCUUCGGGUUGUAAACCGCUUUCGCCUGUGACGAAGCGUGAGUGACGGUAAUGGGUAAAGAAGCACCGGCUAACUACGUG
RNAcentral lists this ribosomal RNA (468 nucleotides) under uncultured bacterium. RNAcentral's name for it is "partial 16S ribosomal RNA". It matches the Rfam family "Bacterial small subunit ribosomal RNA", at positions 28 to 507 of the family's 1533-position model. The record is from RNAcentral.